AUUUGCCUGGCUCCCUGGAUGCCAUUUAAGAAAAUAAUGUCAAGGUUUUGACUACUCUUCUUAUAUGGCACCUGAGGAGUCAGGCAAAC
This 89-nucleotide microRNA precursor is filed under the name Helianthus annuus (common sunflower). Its description in RNAcentral is "sRNA HanXRQr2_Chr10g0451961". It matches the Rfam family "mir-160 microRNA precursor family". From Rfam's summary of the family: The hairpin precursors (represented here) are predicted based on base pairing and cross-species conservation -- their extents are not known. Lineage: Eukaryota; Viridiplantae; Streptophyta; Magnoliopsida; Asterales; Asteraceae. The record is from Rfam by way of RNAcentral.